UGUCACCUCAGUGAUCGGGGAACUGUUGGAACAGGCUGGGAACAGGCUGUGCUGGUGCCAGUGGCACAACACAAAAAAGCAUUCACAAGUAAUGAAGCUCUGAAACACCCUGAGCGGCUUAAAUUGGGGUCAGCUGUGCUAUGGAAAGAAGUGGGCCGGACUGGGGGAGCAGGGAAGUGGCCUCCCCUUUGCCUGUUUGGUAGAAGCAGCCUCCAAGGCAAUGGGAAGCUGUCUUGCUCCUUCUGACCAUCUCUGGAAAAAGUGGGCUCUAACAGAGGUCCUUAACUCUGCUGUAGAUUAGAAUCUGGUCACGUUGGUCUUCUUCAGGAAGGCAGAACUGACCAGGUCCAAGCAAGAGCUUGCUGAAACUUAGCUUCGUACCAACCAGUCUGUGGUUCCCUUUUGACAAUGCCGUCCCUCUGACCAAAGGAAACUCAUCAAGUCAAGUCAUAAAGACCUGCCACAGCAAGGUGAAAACUUGGCCCAAAGAUUAAGUGCUUUGCUGGCCUUCAGAAAAUGUGAAGCAGAGACAAAUGAUGAACUCAAGUCACCUGGUGUCCUGUUAGAUCUUCUCUUACCCAAGCUGCCAGCCUGCUUUGUUGGAAACUCAGCAAGAAACACGGGUAAUGAACCUGCCCAAGUGUAUGGAAGAACGGCUCUGCUGCUAAACAGCAAGUCUGACCAAAGGAGCCUGGGUCGGUCACAGGAUGCCCUUCAUGCAGCUGUCUGGAGACAAGAGUUUUAUGCUCACAGUUCAUCUUGGGAUUUCCACUUUACAUAUGUCGGGAGUGCAAUUCCGUUGGCUCCCAGGAGAAUCUGUUCAGCAGAACAUCCAGACGUGUUAAUUAUUAUUCUUUCUGCUCAUUUAAUGGCUGAACAGUCUCUUGCCAUCCUCUUGCGGAACAAGACCACCCAUAAAACAGUUUGA
Molecule: long non-coding RNA, 928 nt
Filed under: Phasianus colchicus (ring-necked pheasant)
Lineage: Eukaryota; Metazoa; Chordata; Aves; Galliformes; Phasianidae
Description: lncRNA (ENSPCLG00000005361.1)
Source: RNAcentral